This 412-nucleotide ribosomal RNA is filed under the name uncultured bacterium. RNAcentral's name for it is "partial 16S ribosomal RNA". It matches the Rfam family "Bacterial small subunit ribosomal RNA", at positions 355 to 755 of the family's 1533-position model. The record is from RNAcentral.
UGGGGAAUUUUGGACAAUGGGCGAAAGCCUGAUCCAGCAAUGCCGCGUGUGUGAAGAAGGCCUUCGGGUUGUAAAGCACUUUUGUCCGGAAAGAAAUCCUUGGCUCUAAUACAGUCGGGGGAUGACGGUACCGGAAGAAUAAGCACCGGCUAACUACGUGCCAGCAGCCGCGGUAAUACGUAGGGUGCAAGCGUUAAUCGGAAUUACUGGGCGUAAAGCGUGCGCAGGCGGUUUUGCUAAGACCGAUGUGAAAUCCCCGGGCUCAACCUGGGAACUGCAUUUGGUGACUGGCAGGCUAGAGUAUGGCAGAGGGGGGUUAGAAUUUCCACGUGUAGCAGUGAAAUGCGUAGAGAUGUGGAGGAAUACCGAUGGCGAAGGCAGCCCCCUGGGCCAAUACUGACGCUCAUGCACG